RNAcentral lists this transfer RNA (72 nucleotides) under Aedes aegypti (yellow fever mosquito). It matches the Rfam family "tRNA". Rfam says of the family: Transfer RNA (tRNA) molecules are approximately 80 nucleotides in length. The record is from Rfam by way of RNAcentral. Lineage: Eukaryota; Metazoa; Arthropoda; Insecta; Diptera; Culicidae.
GGCUCGAUAGCUUAGUUGGCAAAGCGCUCGUCUAGCAUACAAGAGUCCUGGGUUCGAAUCCCAACCGAGCAA